Molecule: ribosomal RNA, 497 nt
Filed under: uncultured bacterium
Lineage: Bacteria
Description: partial 16S ribosomal RNA
Rfam family: Bacterial small subunit ribosomal RNA
Source: RNAcentral
GAUGAACGCUGGCGGCGUGCCUAAUACAUGCAAGUCGAGCGAACAGAUGAGGAGCUUGCUCCUCUGACGUUAGCGGCGGACGGGUGAGUAACACGUGGAUAACCUACCUAUAAGACUGGGAUAACUUCGGGAAACCGGAGCUAAUACCGGAUAAUAUAUUGAACCGCAUGGUUCAAUAGUGAAAGACGGUUUUGCUGUCACUUAUAGAUGGAUCCGCGCCGCAUUAGCUAGUUGGUAAGGUAACGGCUUACCAAGGCAACGAUGCGUAGCCGACCUGAGAGGGUGAUCGGCCACACUGCAACUGAGACACGGUCCAGACUCCUACGGGAGGCAGCAGUAGGGAAUCUUCCGCAAUGGGCGAAAGCCUGACGGAGCAACGCCGCGUGAGUGAUGAAGGUCUUCGGAUCGUAAAACUCUGUUAUUAGGGAAGAACAAAUGUGUAAGUACCUAUGCACGUCUUGACGGUACCUAAUCAGAAAGCCACGGCUAACUACGUG